AGUGAACGCUGGCGGUAGGCCUAACGCAUGCAAGUCGAACGGCAGCACAGUAAGAGCUUGCUCUUACGGGUGGCGAGUGGCGGACGGGUGAGGAAUACAUCGGAAUCUACUUUUUCGUGGGGGAUAACGUAGGGAAACUUACGCUAAUACAGCAUACGACCUACGGGUGAAAGCAGGGGUUCUUCGGACCUUGCGCGAUUGAAUGAGCCGAUGUCGGAUUAGCUAGUUGGCGGGGUAAAGGCCCACCAAGGCGACGAUCCGUAGCUGGUCUGAGAGGAUGAUCAGCCACACUGGAACUGGGACACGGUCCAGACUCCUACGGGAGGCACCAGUGGGGAAUAUUGGACAAUGGGCGCAAGCCUGCUCCAGCCAUACCGCGUGGGUGAAGAAGGCCUUCGGGUUGUAAAGCCCUUUUGCUGGGAAAGAAAAGCAGCAGGUUAAUACCCCGCUGUUCUGACGGUACCCAAAGAAUAAGCACCGGCUAACUUCGUG
This 492-nucleotide ribosomal RNA is filed under the name uncultured bacterium. RNAcentral's name for it is "partial 16S ribosomal RNA". It matches the Rfam family "Bacterial small subunit ribosomal RNA", at positions 29 to 507 of the family's 1533-position model. The record is from RNAcentral.